This 454-nucleotide unclassified non-coding RNA is filed under the name Zea mays. Its description in RNAcentral is "misc RNA Zm00001eb039690". The record is from RNAcentral. Lineage: Eukaryota; Viridiplantae; Streptophyta; Magnoliopsida; Poales; Poaceae.
AAUGGGAGAAGGCACUAAGCAAGAAAGGGAAGAAAAAAAGUAGAAGGAACUUUCCAGUGAUAGCUACAAGAGCCAGCUCGAGAAUUGCCAGAGAUGGAAUUCCCAUACUUGAGAAAGCCACCAAAAGAGCUCGUGAGAAAAAUCAGCUACAAGGUACUUCACGUCCAAAUCCUUUUCUCAUUCUGAAUAAUGAAUCUAAUGAAAACCUGUCUACUGUUAUGAAAGAUAUAGGCAUUGUUCUAGAAAAUUAUGACAAUCAAAUAGAUUUGUUCAAAGCUGAAGAGCGGGUUAGAGCCACUAUAGCUGAAGCUAACUAUAACAAGUAUGUGGAUAAAAUUAACAGUAAAAAUGCCCCUCAAACUGAAGAGGACCUGCAAGAAUUAGCCAUGGAGGCUAUAACAAAUAAAGAGAGAUUGGAGGCUCCUUUAAUUUCCCAGGAAGGCCCAGGGGGGGC